GCUCAAUACUCUCUCUGUCACGGUUUAGAGGGCACGCUUGAAAAACACUGGGAUCAAGGUAGUCACCGAUUGGUUGUGAGAUGUAGCAGGUGUAGAUGCUAAUGCGCCUAAUCAACUGGGAAAAUACUAGUACUAAUGCUUGAGCAGCAAAUUGGGAUGAAACAUGCAUGAGUAGUACGAGUACUAAUUAAUAAAAAUAAUUGCUUUCGCACCUUAAACAUUGUUUAUUUUAAAAACG
Molecule: long non-coding RNA, 238 nt
Filed under: Hordeum vulgare
Lineage: Eukaryota; Viridiplantae; Streptophyta; Magnoliopsida; Poales; Poaceae
Description: long non-coding RNA (HVUL_LNC007333)
Source: RNAcentral